CUUGGGGACACGCAUGCAUCACCCCAAGGGCGUGCUGAGGCCCUUCUCCUGGUUUUCCUCGUCCCACUAGGGUCCCAGCCAGAAGUGCUCUGGGGGUCUGCACGCUGGGAAGCAGCAUGCUCCGGGUGCGGGGUGCUGUAUGAGAGUCUCUUCCUGUGCAGGAAUCCAGUUCAUCUGAGCAAUCAUCAGUCAGCCCCUCGACUAGCACGGAGAUGGGGAGUCCAGCCCCGACCUCCUGGAGACAAUGAUGGAGGACUGGGAAGAAGCCGGAGAAGAGGCACCCACGGUCCACGAGGACGACGCUGUCCCCCAUAAGCGGAGCCUUUCCCCACGGACACACCAGGCCCUGCGGGAGGUGGUGACGCGCAUCCUGGGGCAGGUGGCCCGCAGGCACAGGGGACAGAGGGAUGACCAGAUGGAUCUGCAGGACAAGCUCAAGUGGUAAAUCUCCCCAGACACAGGCAGUACUUCCUCUGCCGCAGUGCCCUUCCUCCCACUCCCCGCAGCACUCGGGGAGAGAGGCGCUUUUACUGCUACCGGCCUCUCGGCAGAGCCGCAUUCUGCAGCCACAGCAGGCGCCCAGCUGGGGAGCCCGGCUGGUGAGCGCUCUGCCUGUGCUCACAUCAACUCGUCCCACUGUGUGUCUGCAGCGAGCUGGCAGUGCUGCAGUGGCGUCGGUCGAGGCAAGAGGCACACAGCAGCCAACAACUGUGGGAAGCUGGACCCCAACCUGCACCCCCUGCUCGUCCAGGGAAGAGGGUGGCAGGACCGGUAUGUGGCAUGGGCUCCUGGAGGGACUGUGUUGUAUCCACCUUUAGAAAAGCACCGUUACACGGAUGUCAUGUCUUACAAGACCCCUUAGCGCGUGCUUAGCUGAAGGCUGAAGCCCUUCUCCCCAGGCUUUCUCAAGAGGCGGCAGGUGGUUCUGUCCAAGACAGCCUUGACUUCUGCCAUCUUCAGAACCACCCAAAGACUUGAUUUGGUGGUGUUUGUAAUGGCGACGGCACUGCCAGGCUUGCCUGGGAUGGCAAGCAGCUGGGUUGCUUUCAGCCCCGUGGUCACUUGGCUCAGGGGUCGUUGCAGAAAGGCUUUGCGGUCGGGCCUGUGAGGACUGCGAGCAAACCAGGGCUGACGCAGAGGCUGAAGAGAAGGGGCAGGAGGGAGGGGGAGAGCUAAAAUCCCCCCAGCUCUGCGCCGGGGAGACUAACUCUGUCUGCUGCUGCAUUGCCUUGGCCCUGCAGGCAGAGCCCCAUGUGUGCACGGAGGAGGAAGGAUGCAAGCUCUGGGAUUCCUUGCGCAAGAAGUGCCAGCAGAAGGCAAGGGCAAAAGUGACACCCCCGAAGGCGUGGAACAAAGAGCGAGAGCAAUGGGAGGCCUAGGGCUCCUGCUUUCGUGGCACUCUGGAGUGGUGGGGAGAGGGCAGAAAAGAGCCAUCCGUGGAGGAUGAGGAGAGCCCCAAGGACAAGUUCAGUCUUUGCAUUUCAGGGUUCUCACCUCUGCAAAGGAGUCUUUCCCCAUGGACCCACUGGGCUUUGAGAGGAGCAGCAACCCGCCUCCUCGAGAAGGUAGAGGGAAGAGCCCAUUGCCAUGGUGGUGAGGAGGAGUCCUGCAGCUCAGGGGAGCAGAUCUAGUCCACGUCAGCGAGUGCCAGGAGAGCCUCUUGGGCACAGGGGCUCCCGAGAGAGAUGUCCAGCAGGAGCCUCCUCCAGCAUGACGAGCGCCAGUGCUGGCCAGCGGGGCUGUAACAGCUUUGCUUCUGCCUGUUCAAUAAAGCCCCAUCUGCAACCCCCUGGGUCUGACAGUGUGGGUCUUUCCUUGGUGGCUGUGAAAUCUCCACUAGGC
Long non-coding RNA from Grus americana (Whooping crane), 1842 nucleotides. RefSeq lists it as uncharacterized. The record is from RefSeq and is a predicted model, not a curated record. The transcript is spliced from 5 exons. Lineage: Eukaryota; Metazoa; Chordata; Aves; Gruiformes; Gruidae.